This 153-nucleotide ribosomal RNA is filed under the name Polystira sp. R-GAN-10/R-MIS-1. RNAcentral's name for it is "partial large subunit ribosomal RNA". Lineage: Eukaryota; Metazoa; Mollusca; Gastropoda; Neogastropoda; Turridae. The record is from RNAcentral.
UAUUAAAGCAAUUGAAUACUUUAUUUCUAAAUAUUUAUUUAUUUAAAACAUUACUAUAUUUAGUAAAGGAGAUUAAAAAUUAUUAUGUAUUCUUAGGUCUUAAGUACUGUAGAGGAACAACUAUCAAUAAAAAGAAAGAAAAAAUUAAACUUU